Molecule: transfer RNA, 84 nt
Filed under: Brucella tritici
Lineage: Bacteria; Pseudomonadati; Pseudomonadota; Alphaproteobacteria; Hyphomicrobiales; Brucellaceae
Description: Ochrobactrum tritici tRNA-Tyr
Rfam family: tRNA
About the family: Transfer RNA (tRNA) molecules are approximately 80 nucleotides in length. Their secondary structure includes four short double-helical elements and three loops (D, anti-codon, and T loops).
Source: RNAcentral
GGAGGGAUGCCCGAGUGGUUAAAGGGGACGGACUGUAAAUCCGUUGGCUAUGCCUACGUUGGUUCAAAUCAACUCCCUCCACCA